RNAcentral lists this microRNA precursor (96 nucleotides) under Podarcis lilfordi (Lilford's wall lizard). The record is from RNAcentral. Lineage: Eukaryota; Metazoa; Chordata; Lepidosauria; Squamata; Lacertidae.
ACCUUAGAGACCAAUUAAGUUUGUUCUGGGUAUAAGCUUUUGUGUGCAUGCACACGAAAGCUUAUACCCAGAACAAACGUAGUUGGUCUCUAAGGU